GACGAACGCUGGCGGCGUGCUUAACACAUGCAAGUCGAACGGGUCUGCCCUGUUUUUUGCGGGGUGGGUCAGUGGCGAACGGGUGAGUAACACGUGAGUAACCUGCCCCUCACUUCUGGAUAACCGCUUGAAAGGGUGGCUAAUACGGGGUGUUCUGGCUGUGCCGCAUGGUGUGGCUGGGAAAGAUUCACUUUUGUGGUGUUUUGGUGGGGGAUGGGCUCGCGGCCUAUCAGCUUGUUGGUGGGGUGAUGGCCUGCCAAGGCUUUGACGGGUAGCCGGCCUGGGAGGGUGGGCGGUCAAACGAGGACUGAGAUACGGCCCAGACUGCGGCGGGAGGCAGCAGUGGGGGGUAUUGCACGAUGGGCAGAAGCCUGAUGCAGCGACGUCGCGUGAGGGAUGGAGGCCUGCGGGUUGUGAACCUCUUUCGCCGGUGAAGAAGGUCCAGCUCUUAGUGGUGGGGUUGACGGUAGCCGGGUUAUGAAGCGCCGGCUAACUACGUG
RNAcentral lists this ribosomal RNA (500 nucleotides) under uncultured bacterium. RNAcentral's name for it is "partial 16S ribosomal RNA". It matches the Rfam family "Bacterial small subunit ribosomal RNA", at positions 28 to 507 of the family's 1533-position model. The record is from RNAcentral.